Molecule: ribosomal RNA, 321 nt
Filed under: uncultured Pseudomonadota bacterium
Lineage: Bacteria; Pseudomonadati; Pseudomonadota
Description: bacterial SSU rRNA
Rfam family: Bacterial small subunit ribosomal RNA
Source: RNAcentral
AUUGAACGCUGGCGGCAGGCUUAACACAUGCAAGUCGAGCGGGGAAAGGUAGCUUGCUACCGGACCUAGCGGCGGACGGGUGAGUAAUGCUUAGGAAUCUGCCUAUUAGUGGGGGACAACAGUUGGAAACGGCUGCUAAUACCGCAUACGCCCUACGGGGGAAAGCAGGGGAUCUUCGGACCUUGCGCUAAUAGAUGAGCCUAAGUCGGAUUAGCUAGUUGGUGGGGUAAAGGCCUACCAAGGCGACGAUCUGUAGCGGGUCUGAGAGGAUGAUCCGCCACACUGGGACUGAGACACGGCCCAGACUCCUACGGGUGGCUG